AGCAUUUAUAUCUUAAUCUCUAUAGAUACACUUGUUUGACCUGCAGAAAAAAAGCCAUGUUCAUAACAACACACGUGCUCCAGAAAGCUCCUGUCUGCACCAGUUUGUAUGGGAGUUGCACAACUUAUUUCCAGCAAGAUUCUAUCCUUUUUCUGAAAAAGUGAAGCCACUCUAAAAUGUCACUUCACACCACCUGUACUCUCUGGAUUCACAUUAAUUCCCAACUGAUGAUAAAAAUGUGCCUAGAAAUACAUUCAGGAAACACCAUCAAAGUAAAAAAAGCAUCUGUUUAUUUGAAGGGACCAUAUGGAGCUGGACAAGAAUAGCUGAGAUGAGACUAACAGUUUUAGACACGAGCUUUCUUCAACCAAUCAUCAAAUUGGUUAAUGGCUUUUCCCCCCCACCAUAAUCAAGAUAAAGCAGCUGCAGUGAAACACUGCAGUGGAUAACUCCAGGAAAGACUUCCCAUGUGCAUCUUGGAAUCUUCGUGAUGUGUUUUAUUGGAGUGAUGGCAGAUAAGAAGAGCAUCAGAAAAAUCCCCAGGCUUUCCUGAGGAAGUGUUAAAUCAGCCACAGGAUCAAGCUAAAAGGCAAUGUCCUUCAUCACCUGAUACCUGCAAAGC
This is a long non-coding RNA of Parus major (Great Tit), 622 nucleotides long. RefSeq lists it as uncharacterized. NCBI's taxonomy places the organism in Eukaryota, Metazoa, Chordata, Aves, Passeriformes, Paridae. The record is from RefSeq and is a predicted model, not a curated record. The transcript is spliced from 5 exons.